GGGGUUGUGGCUCAGUGGUACCAGCACUUGCCUAGCAUGUAUGAGGCCUUGGGUUCGAUCCUCAGCACCACA
RNAcentral lists this transfer RNA (72 nucleotides) under Marmota monax (woodchuck). Its description in RNAcentral is "tRNA.Ala". The record is from RNAcentral. Lineage: Eukaryota; Metazoa; Chordata; Mammalia; Rodentia; Sciuridae.